AAUCAACGCUGGCGGCGUGCCUAACACAUGCAAGUCGAACGCGAAAAUUCCUUCGGGGAUGAGUAGAGUGGCGUCCGGGUGAGUAACGCGUGGGUAAUCUGCCUUCGGGUGGGGAAUAACCCAGGGAAACUUGGGCUAAUACCGCAUAAUGCAGCGGCUCGACAUCGAGACAGUUGUUAAAGCAGCAAUGCGCCCUGAAGAGGAGCCUGCGUCUGAUUAGCUAGUUGGUAAGGUAAUGGCUUACCAAGGCUACGAUCAGUAGCUGGUCUGAGAGGACGGCCAGCCACAAUGGCACUGAAACACGGGCCAUACUCCUACGGGAGGCAGCGAGUGGGGAAUUUUGCGCAAGUGGGCGAAAGCCUGACGUAGCAACGCCGCGUGAAGGAUGAAAUCCUUCGGGAUGUAAACUUCGCAAGUAUGGGAAGAAACAAAUGA
Molecule: ribosomal RNA, 435 nt
Filed under: uncultured bacterium
Lineage: Bacteria
Description: bacterial SSU rRNA
Rfam family: Bacterial small subunit ribosomal RNA
Source: RNAcentral